GGGGACGUCGUAUAACUAGGCUAUUAUUAGCGGCUCCAGACCGCUGGAUCCGGGUUCAAAUCCCGGCGUCCCCA
This 74-nucleotide transfer RNA is filed under the name Candidatus Woesearchaeota archaeon. RNAcentral's name for it is "tRNA-Trp". It matches the Rfam family "tRNA". Rfam says of the family: Transfer RNA (tRNA) molecules are approximately 80 nucleotides in length. Their secondary structure includes four short double-helical elements and three loops (D, anti-codon, and T loops). Lineage: Archaea; Nanobdellati; Candidatus Woesearchaeota. The record is from RNAcentral.